Molecule: long non-coding RNA, 2225 nt
Filed under: Mus musculus (house mouse)
Lineage: Eukaryota; Metazoa; Chordata; Mammalia; Rodentia; Muridae
Description: predicted gene, 48809
Source: RNAcentral
AGUCUUCCACUAGCAGCCUUUGGAUGAAGACAUAGAACUCUCAGCUCCUCCUGUGCCAUGUCUGCCUGGAUACUGCCAUGCUCCCACCUUGAUGAUAAUGGACUAAACCUCUGAACCUUCUGUCCUUGGUACCUGCAUGUGAAGUGCACUUCCUACCUGCCUCACCACCAAUACUUCUGCACUUCUCAAUGCAGCAUCUGACCUAACACUGCUAACUGUGAGACAUGCAGAAAAACCAAGAGACUGCUGACCUAACUCUGCCUUGGUGCCACGUCAAGGCCAUCUUGCCUCAGCUUGCACCAGGCCUAUAUUCUUAGCACCCUAGGAAACAAUGGCAGGUUUCCUUCACAUGUUUCUAAAGGACACUAUGCCUCUAUUAUUGUGUGUAUCUUUGUGUUUAUGCUGUUAGGAAUGUGCUGACACAGUCUUGCUGUUGCUCACUGCUGACAGUUCUUGCACCCAGAAAUAGACUUUCAAACAGUAUCAUUCUAAGUCACAAGAAAGGAAUUACAUUGUAAUGUAUACAGUGGAAUAGAGUAGGAUUUUAAAACUAUACUUGAUGAAGUAUAAAAAUAUAGACAUUUUAAAAGAUAUAAACAUUUUAUAUGUUGGGAUUUCCAGUUUAAGUAAAAAGCUUACUAGGUAUAAUUAAGACUAAUCCUUCUGCUGGGCCACGUAGCACAUGCCUUUAAUCCCAGCACUCAGAAGGCAGAGGCAGAGGCAGGCAGAUCUCUGAAUUCAAGGCCAGCCUGGUCUACAGAGUGAGUUCCAGGAUAACCAGGGCUACACGGAGAAACCCUGUCCCAAACAAACAUAUAUUAAUAGUAAGAAAACUAAUCCUCGCUAUGGCAAUUUCUGAAAAGUCAAGUUACUUUAAAAGUCUUACUGGGCAUGCUGCUGCAGAAAACUGAGGCAGGAGGACUAUGAGCUGGAGGCCUGCCUAGCUGUGUAAAGAGCUUGGAGGCAGGCUGAAAGAACUAGGCAGGGAGACUCAAAGCAAGCACUUCUUGAUGGUAUUAAAGCAAAAUGGGAAGGAACGCAGCCGUGAAAAUGACUGGCUAAAACUCAACUGCCCUAUUCCUUCCCAAGUCUCUAACACUUCCUGGACUGAAUGUAAAGGAUACAGAGACUAAUGGAGCGCCACACUUUGGAAUACACUGGGAAAACUAAAAUAUUUUUAUUGACAGAAAUGUGGAGGUAAUAGGUAAAAAUUCUUGAAUUAUUAUGAAGCCUGUGAUAAUGAAAAGGAGUUGAAGUACACAUUUUAAGAACAUGCCAAGGGCCAGCAUGCGCAGCAUCAUUAAUAAGACACUCAAGGGAAGGGCUCCAUGGCCAGCUGUCAUCAGAACAUUUGUAUUUGAGACUGCAAAAGGAAGACUACUUGAGCCCAAAAGUUCAGGGACAGCUAGCUGGGCAGUAUAGCAAGAUGCCAGAUCAAAUAAAACCCUUUAAAAGAAACCUAUAAUACUAACAAAUUAAGCAGAUUACCAUAGCAACACAUUUCUUUCUUCUUUGGUAUUACCUUCUACUUGAAGGUAAUAGUCAAAUGGCACAACAUUAAACAAAUAUACACUCUUAGGCUUCAAGCAGGAUGGGAAUCAGUAAUUGGAUAAAAGCAGUCAGAUGCAUAAAACAACACGUGUACACACACACACAUACACACUGACAGGUUUCAAUUGGGGUGGGGUCAUGAUUUUUCUCUGAUGCUGUUGCCAUGUCCCACCCCCACCCCCCACCCCCACUUUGGUUCUAUGAAAUGGCUUCAUCAGCAUUUUGCAUCUACAUUCUUUACUCUUAUGUUGGGAGCUCAAUGGUUGUGCUUCCAAGACAGCACUAGGGGGACCAGGAAUGUUAAAUAAGUAGGGUUGUGUCUCCAAAGGAAAACCGAGAAGGCUGUGAAUGGAGGCGACUAACAGCCUAGGUAACCGUGUGGUGUGUGUAGGGCCCAGGCUGUACCUGGUUUCCUCAAGCUCCCACAACCAGGAACGGAGGUGGCCAGUAGCCAGGAUGACCUCUCCAUUAUCUGUAUGACAGAGACCACUCCAGACCCUCCCCUAGGCCCUUACGACGAAACAUGUAGUCUUCAUGGAAGAAGUGACAUGUACUUUGAGAAGAGUUUUGAUGUAACUAUGCCUCCUUGUUCACAUCAGACUGUGUUACACCAGGAAACUUUUCCCCAAAUUGUUCUGUACUUAAAUAUGCUUACAAUAAACUGCCAAGCCAGC